AUUGCAUGAAGGUCCAGUGU
This 20-nucleotide unclassified non-coding RNA is filed under the name Mus musculus (house mouse). RNAcentral's name for it is "oocyte_clustered_small_RNA535". The record is from RNAcentral. Lineage: Eukaryota; Metazoa; Chordata; Mammalia; Rodentia; Muridae.